Molecule: ribosomal RNA, 521 nt
Filed under: uncultured bacterium
Lineage: Bacteria
Description: bacterial SSU rRNA
Rfam family: Bacterial small subunit ribosomal RNA
Source: RNAcentral
AGGACGAACGCUGGCGGCGUGCCUAAUACAUGCAAGUCGAACGGUCUUUCUAUGGAAGCUUGCUUCCACUGAGAAGAUAGUGGCGAACGGGUGAGUAACACGUGGGUAACCUGCCCAUAAGAGGGGGAUAACAUCCGGAAACGGAUGCUAAUACCGCAUAGGGUUUUCUUGAUCGCAUGAUCGGGAAAGGAAAGACGGCCUUUGUGCUGUCGCUUAUGGAUGGACCCGCGGCGUAUUAGUUAGUUGGUGAGGUAACGGCUCACCAAGACGAUGAUACGUAGCCGACCUGAGAGGGUGAUCGGCCACAUUGGGACUGAGACACGGCCCAAACUCCUACGGGAGGCAGCAGUAGGGAAUCUUCCGCAAUGGACGAAAGUCUGACGGAGCAACGCCGCGUGAGUGAAGAAAGGUUUUCGGAUCGUAAAACUCUGUUGUCAGAGAAGAACAAGUUGGAGAGUAACUGCUCCAGCCUUGACGGUAUCUGACCAGAAAGCCACGGCUAACUACGUGCCAGCCGCCGC